This 305-nucleotide ribosomal RNA is filed under the name uncultured bacterium. Its description in RNAcentral is "bacterial SSU rRNA". It matches the Rfam family "Bacterial small subunit ribosomal RNA", at positions 337 to 639 of the family's 1533-position model. The record is from RNAcentral.
CCCUACGGGGGGCAGCAGUGAGGAAUAUUGGUCAAUGGGCGAGAGCCUGAACCAGCCAAGUCGCGUGAAGGAUGACGGCCCUACGGGUUGUAAACUUCUUUUGUCAGGGAGCAAUUGGGUCCACGUGUGGGCUUAGCGAGAGUACCUGAAGAAAAAGCAUCGGCUAACUCCGUGCCAGCAGCCGCGGUAAUACGGAGGAUGCGAGCGUUAUCCGGAUUUAUUGGGUUUAAAGGGUGCGUAGGCGGGCUUUUAAGUCAGCGGUAAAAAUUCGGGGCUCAACCCCGUCCGGUCGUUGAAACUGGGGG